This 253-nucleotide ribosomal RNA is filed under the name uncultured bacterium. Its description in RNAcentral is "partial 16S ribosomal RNA". It matches the Rfam family "Bacterial small subunit ribosomal RNA", at positions 524 to 776 of the family's 1533-position model. The record is from RNAcentral.
UACGUAGGGUGCAAGCGUUAAUCGGAAUUGCUGGGCGUAAAGCGUGCGCAGGCGGUUUUGUAAGUUUGUCGUGAAAGCCCCGGGCUCAACCUGGGAAUUGCGAUGAAGACUGCAAGGCUUGAAUCUGGCAGAGGGGGGUAGAAUUCCACGUGUAGCAGUGAAAUGCGUAGAGAUGUGGAGGAACACCGAUGGCGAAGGCAGCCCCCUGGGUCAAGAUUGACGCUCAGGCACGAAAGCGUGGGGAGCAAACAGG